RNAcentral lists this ribosomal RNA (1380 nucleotides) under Salmonella enterica. RNAcentral's name for it is "partial 23S ribosomal RNA". It matches the Rfam family "Bacterial large subunit ribosomal RNA", at positions 1572 to 2925 of the family's 2925-position model. Lineage: Bacteria; Pseudomonadati; Pseudomonadota; Gammaproteobacteria; Enterobacterales; Enterobacteriaceae. The record is from RNAcentral.
AGGCACCACGGUGCUGAAGCAACAAAUGCCCUGCUUCCAGGAAAAGCCUCUAAGCCUCAGGUAACAUCAAAUCGUACCCCAAACCGACACAGGUGGUCAGGUAGAGAAUACCAAGGCGCUUGAGAGAACUCGGGUGAAGGAACUAGGCAAAAUGGUGCCGUAACUUCGGGAGAAGGCACGCUGACACGUAGGUGAAGUGGUUUACCCAUGGAGCUGAAGUCAGUCGAAGAUACCAGCUGGCUGCAACUGUUUAUUAAAAACACAGCACUGUGCAAACACGAAAGUGGACGUAUACGGUGUGACGCCUGCCCGGUGCCGGAAGGUUAAUUGAUGGGGUCAGCGCAAGCGAAGCUCCUGAUCGAAGCCCCGGUAAACGGCGGCCGUAACUAUAACGGUCCUAAGGUAGCGAAAUUCCUUGUCGGGUAAGUUCCGACCUGCACGAAUGGCGUAAUGAUGGCCAGGCUGUCUCCACCCGGGACUCAGUGAAAUUGAACUCGCUGUGAAGAUGCAGUGUACCCGCGGCAAGACGGAAAGACCCCGUGAACCUUUACUAUAGCUUGACACUGAACACUGGUCCUUGAUGUGCAGGAUAGGUGGGAGGCUUUGAAGUGUGGACGCCAGUCUGCAUGGAGCCAUCCUUGAAAUACCACCCUUUAAUGGCUGGUGUUCUAACGUGGGCCCGUGAACCGGGUUGCGGACAGUGUCUGGUGGGUAGUUUGACUGGGGCGGUCUCCUCCUAAAGAGUAACGGAGGAGCACGAAGGUUGGCUAAUCCUGGUCGGACAUCAGGAGGUUAGUGCAAUGGCAUAAGCCAGCUUGACUGCGAGCGUGACGGCGCGAGCAGGUGCGAAAGCAGGUCAUAGUGAUCCGGUGGUUCUGAAUGGAAGGGCCAUCGCUCAACGGAUAAAAGGUACUCCGGGGAUAACAGGCUGAUACCGCCCAAGAGUUCAUAUCGACGGCGGUGUUUGGCACCUCGAUGUCGGCUCAUCACAUCCUGGGGCUGAAGUAGGUCCCAAGGGUAUGGCUGUUCGCCAUUUAAAGUGGUACGCGAGCUGGGUUUAGAACGUCGUGAGACAGUUCGGUCCCUAUCUGCCGUGGGCGCUGGAAGAUUGAGGGGGGCUGCUCCUAGUACGAGAGGACCGGAGUGGACGCAUCACUGGUGUUCGGGUUGUCAUGCCAAUGGCACUGCCCGGUAGCUACAUGCGGAAGAGAUAAGUGCUGAAAGCAUCUAAGCACGAAACUUGCCCCGAGAUGAAUCUUCCCUGAGCCUUUAAGGCUCCUGAAGGAACGUUGAAGACGACGACGUUGAUAGGCCGGGUGUGUAAGCGCAGCGAUGCGUUGAGCUAACCGGUACUAAUGAACCGUGAGGCUUAACCUUACA